Molecule: non-coding RNA, 116 nt
Organism: Bacillus sp. FJAT-21945
Lineage: Bacteria; Bacillati; Bacillota; Bacilli; Caryophanales; Bacillaceae
Source: Rfam
GAGUCCUUUAAUACAGUCCCGUGAGGCUGAGAAGGAAACGGAUAUGUGCCUAGGGGAUGUUUCCCUUAUCUAUGCGCUCGUUACCCUCUCGCUGAAUCGGUGAGAGGGUUUUUUAU